Molecule: ribosomal RNA, 268 nt
Filed under: uncultured bacterium
Lineage: Bacteria
Description: partial small subunit ribosomal RNA
Rfam family: Bacterial small subunit ribosomal RNA
Source: RNAcentral
AGAUUGAACGCUGGCGGCAUGCCUAACACAUGCAAGUCGAACGGCAGCAUGACGUGUAGCAAUACACGUUGAUGGCGAGUGGCGGACGGGUGAGGAAUGCAUCGGAAAUCUGCCCAGUCGUGGGGGAUAACGUAGGGAAACUUACGCUAAUACCGCAUACGACCGUGAGGUGAAAGCGGGGGAUCGAAAGACCUCGCGCGAUUGGAGGAGCCGAUGCCGGAUUAGCUUGUUGGUGGGGUAACGGCCUACCAAGGCGACGAUCCGUAGC